UACGGAGGGUGCAAGCGUUAUCCGGAUUCACUGGGUUUAAAGGGUGCGUAGGUGGCUUUGUAAGUCAGUGGUGAAAUCUUAGAGCUUAACUCUAAAACUGCCAUUGAUACUGCUUAGCUUGAAUCAAGUAGAGGUGGAUGGAAUAUUACAUGUAGCGGUGAAAUGCUUAGAUAUGUAAUAGAACACCGAUUGCGAAGGCAGACCACUAUGCUUGUAUUGACACUGAGGCACGAAAGCGUGGGGAUCAAACAGG
RNAcentral lists this ribosomal RNA (253 nucleotides) under uncultured bacterium. Its description in RNAcentral is "partial 16S ribosomal RNA". It matches the Rfam family "Bacterial small subunit ribosomal RNA", at positions 524 to 776 of the family's 1533-position model. The record is from RNAcentral.